RNAcentral lists this ribosomal RNA (920 nucleotides) under uncultured bacterium. RNAcentral describes it as "bacterial SSU rRNA". It matches the Rfam family "Bacterial small subunit ribosomal RNA", at positions 75 to 985 of the family's 1533-position model. The record is from RNAcentral.
UUAAUUUAUUAGUGGUUAGUGGCGAAAGGGUGAGUAAUGAAUAGGUAACGUACCCUGGGCUUUGGGAUAGCGUCAGUUACUUCGGUAACUUUCCGAAAGGGGCGGUAAUACCAAAUAAUACCAUGUACCUUCAGGUAUAUGGUCAAAGAUUUAUCGGCUUAGGAGCGGCCUAUUUCCUAUCAGCUUGUUGGUGAGGUAAAAGCUCACCAAGGCAACGACGGGUAGCGGGACUGAGAGGUUGGCCCGCCACAUCGGGACUGAGACACUGCCCGGACCUCCACGGAGGGCUGCAGUAACGGAUAUUGCGCAAUGGGCGAAAGCCUGACGCAGCGACGCCGCGUGUAGGAAGAAGUCCUUCGGGAUGUAAACUACUGUCGAGAGACAAGAAAGUUCACUUCGGUGAAUUGAUCAGUCUCACAGGAAGUCACGGCUAACUUCGUGCCAGCAGCCGCGGUAAGACGAAGGUGGCGAGCGUUGUUCGGUGUUACUGGGCUUAAAGCGUGUGUAGGCGGAAAAGUAAGCGUUUUGUGAAAUACCCGGGCUUAACCCGGGAAUUGCUUGGCGAACUACUUUUCUUGAGGCAAGUAGGGGUGCAUGGAACUCUUGGUGGAGCGGUGGAAUGCGUAGAUAUCAAGAGGAACGCCGAUGGAGAAAUCAGUGCACUGGGCUUGUCCUGACGCUGAGACACGAAAGCGUGGGGAGCGAACGGGAUUAGAUACCCCGGUAGUCCACGCUGUAAACGAUGUCUACUAGGUUGCGGAGGUUCUGACACUUUCGCGACCGAAGCAAAAGUGUUAAGUAGACCGCCUGGGGAGUACGGUCGCAAGGCUAAAACUCAAAGGAAUUGACGGGGGCUCACACAAGCGGUGGAGCAUGUGGAUUAAUUCGAAGCAACGCGUAGAACCUUACCUGGGUUUGAC